Molecule: long non-coding RNA, 2056 nt
Organism: Bolinopsis microptera
Lineage: Eukaryota; Metazoa; Ctenophora; Tentaculata; Lobata; Bolinopsidae
Exons: 4
Source: RefSeq, a predicted model, not a curated record
AAAAGCACAGCGGAUUUUGCUAUCAUGUUACACUUUUGUAGAUCAGGAUCGAAUUUGAACGUAUUACUCCUAAACAGAUUAUUUCAAUCCUGCAUUAUAUGGAAAUAUCGAUAACCCAUUCGAGCCUUUUUUUAAAUGUGUUUAUGUUUUUGAAAAAGUAUAUUAUUGUGAUACUUCCAUGUAUUAAAUCGUUUAAAUGGUAUGGUAAAGAACAGUACACAGAUACUUAUUCUUUGAUGCCCCGAAACACAUUCCUAGCUCUAGAUCUGCCUUACAUUUCAAUAAUGGCUCUUUCAUCACAUUUGCUUGAUAACUGCUGAUUUGUAAUGCUUAAAAUUGAUCCCACUCAGUUUGACUAUCUUAGGUUAGCUGUAAUAUCGAACUCGACAGUAGCUUCCUCUGUCAUGUCGGAGAUCUCAGGAGACGACUGGGUAUUUUGUGUCAAGAAGAGGUUAACCUCCCACUUAACAAGAUAAACAUCAAAUUCAUAGGAGUGCCAAACAGGGACCGUUUAAUCGAGAUGACUUCUCUGAUGACAGAGAUGUGGAAAAGACUACGUCCUUCUCUGGAAAACUACAAGGAUAAAAUACCCACCUUCUUCGGGAAAAAGUCCAUCAUAUGCGAAAGGAAACUUACUCACGUGCGAAAGACGAACUCUAAGAAUUGGAGAAUAACGGCAGUAGACAGCAGCUAACUUCCCCUGUACUCAACGACAUUGAACAAUAGACAUGAAAUGACUCGCUGACCCCCUACAAAGUACUUGUGCUCGGAGGCAGAAUUUGGCAUCGUUUGGGUCGAGAGAUUUCCAAGGGUAAUGAUACAGUUAAACUGUAUAAAAAUACCUCUCAAAAACAACCUUCUCCUGGUCGGCCAUGUCCCUCAUCCUGCACUUGACCCCUGCAGAGGUCACAAGAACAUCGGAGCACAAAUGAGCGAGAAACGGGGAAGCCUUAGCUUCCGGGUCAAGGACUGCAUCACUAGCACCUACCUAUUGAACCUAUUGAUAGGUUUAAAAGUAGGCAUCUUCACGCAAUCUGCGGACCACCUCCUAGCAGCGAAAUACGGAUAUACCCUCCCUAUUACAUGCGUUCAACCGGCACCCGAACCACACGCUGUUUCUUAGACACAACUUCCCACUUAAAUCAGUGUCCUGUCGCAUCAACUGGCAUCGGCAAGUGGCGACACUGUGUAGACUCAACCCUGAGCUUGAUCAGAAUCUUCAGUCACAAACCUGACACCGUUUCGGGGCUUGCAAUACGGUUUUCUGUCAGGCUCCCAGCAGUUUCUUUUGGACCACCAUCUCAUCUGACAAUCACCCGAGGAUACCUGCCAGAGCUCGCAAUUUACGACGAGUUAGCUUAUGGCACCUCUGGCUGUUAAGUGAAGUCAUAAAGCUCAAACAGCUCUCAUCUCCCAUUCUCUCUUCCUAGACAGCAGACCUGGGAGAAACUCCUUCUAGCCGGACGUCACGCGUGAUGUACGAGAAACUACGGACAGGGUACUCCUACUUGCGUGCGAAAGACAAAGGCAGCAAGAAUCGAAGAACAGAACCCCGACCACACUGCUUGUGAGAAAUGAGCAGCUCUUGAUCUAGGACAAAAAACUUUCUUCUGUUUAAUAUCUAAAACGUGUUACGUGUGAUAUUACACCAACUUUUGAUUAAUAAUACGAAACUUUAUACCUUAUAAAGUAUGAUAUUUAAACACGAAAAUUUACAUUCUGAAAUUGGUAUAGUGUUCCUUUAACUGUUCCUUCAACUUUCAUCGUAGCUUUUUUCAAAAUAUUCUUCAGUGCCAUCAACAAACAGAUUUUUUCAUUUGACUGAACUGUGCCAUAUUUGAUAUUGCCUCUGUAUUUUAUAGGGAAAAUUUUUUAAAUCUUGCAAGUUGAUGUAAUUAAGUUUUAAGUUAACGUAUUAUAGAUAUGUUAACACUAGUUUAUGUUUCAGUAUUUAAAUUGUUUCCAUUUAUAGUUUAACCGAUCCCUGUUGUAGAGUUAUCAGAUCUUUACUUAGGAUAAACAAUAUAAUAUGAAGUUCGAUAAUAAUAUUAAUAAA